This 397-nucleotide ribosomal RNA is filed under the name uncultured bacterium. Its description in RNAcentral is "partial 16S ribosomal RNA". It matches the Rfam family "Bacterial small subunit ribosomal RNA", at positions 523 to 918 of the family's 1533-position model. The record is from RNAcentral.
AUACGUAGGGGGCGAGCGUUGUCCGGAAUGAUUGGGCGUAAAGGGCGCGUAGGCGGCCCGGUAAGUCUGGAGUGAAAGUCCUGUUUUUAAGAUGGGAAUUGCUUUGGAUACUGUCGGGCUUGAGUGCAGGAGAGGUAAGUGGAAUUCCCAGUGUAGCGGUGAAAUGCGUAGAGAUUGGGAGGAACACCAGUGGCGAAGGCGACUUACUGGGCCGUAACUGACGCUGAGGCGCGAAAGCGUGGGGAGCGAACAGGAUUAGAUACCCUGGUAGUCCACGCGGUAAACGAUGAAUGCUAGGUGUAGGGGGUAUCGACCCCUCCUGUGCCGGAGUGAACACAAUAAGCAUUCCGCCUGGGGAGUACGGCCGCAAGGUUGAAACUCAAAUGAAUUGACGGGG